This 497-nucleotide ribosomal RNA is filed under the name uncultured bacterium. Its description in RNAcentral is "partial 16S ribosomal RNA". It matches the Rfam family "Bacterial small subunit ribosomal RNA", at positions 28 to 507 of the family's 1533-position model. The record is from RNAcentral.
GAUGAACGCUGGCGGCGUGCCUAAUACAUGCAAGUCGAGCGAACAGACGAGGAGCUUGCUCCUCUGACGUUAGCGGCGGACGGGUGAGUAACACGUGGAUAACCUACCUAUAAGACUGGGGUAACUUCGGGAAACCGGAGCUAAUACCGGAUAACAUGUUGAACCGCAUGGUUCAAUAGUGAAAGACGGUCUUGCUGUCACUUAUAGAUGGAUCCGCGCCGCAUUAGCUAGUUGGUAAGGUAACGGCUUACCAAGGCAACGAUGCGUAGCCGACCUGAGAGGGUGAUCGGCCACACUGGAACUGAGACACGGUCCAGACUCCUACGGGAGGCAGCAGUAGGGAAUCUUCCGCAAUGGGCGAAAGCCUGACGGAGCAACGCCGCGUGAGUGAAGAAGGUCUUCGGAUCGUAAAACUCUGUUAUUAGGGAAGAACAAAUGUGUAAGUAACUAUGCACGUCUUGACGGUACCUAAUCAGAAAGCCACGGCUAACUACGUG